Molecule: long non-coding RNA, 389 nt
Organism: Quercus lobata
Lineage: Eukaryota; Viridiplantae; Streptophyta; Magnoliopsida; Fagales; Fagaceae
Exons: 4
Source: RefSeq, a predicted model, not a curated record
UUAUGUUUUCUAAGUUGGUGUUUAGCUUUGCUUGAAGCUUCAAGAAAAGUUAAUUUCAGAGAUCUCUUAAGACAAGGCUUGCAUCUAGAAGGUUUAAUAAGUGGACAUAUAUACUCAAUGCUUACUCAAAUUUGCGUAUAAAAAAGCUUAUGAAUUUUAAGGAGAAAGAUGGCUUUUCAUUUUGAUUGGUGAUGAACUGGACUAAUUAUACCACUCACCAGUGGCAUGGAAUCUUUGAGUCAAGGUGAAAAGGUUUGCAUUGGUGAGCUUCUUUUGUAUUUCUCUUGCCUUUCGAAGGGCACGAGAUUGAGGAUGUAUACUUUUAUAAUGCAUGGUAUGAGAUGGAGUUUCAACUAAUGAACAAUUAGAUGCUUGCAGUGCACACAAGA